CCAACCAAGGCUCCGGCGGCUUCGAGCUUUGACUUGGUCGUAUCUAACUUAGCCUCAGGCUCAGGCGUUGCAGACACGAAGCUCUUGACAACCCCGGGCUUUUUGCUAAAAAUGCUCAACUGCUGAUCGGUAGAAGAGCCCUGACCGAGUAGGCUUUUCUUCUUAAGAGCCCCGAGGCCGGAGGUCUUGGACUUCUUGCUAAACUCGACUAUGGGCAAAGAGGCUGAAUCCUCAGGUUUCUUCUUCUUCCCUUUGCCUCCAUUCCCACUGAUCUCAAUAGAACCGAUCACGCCAACCUCGUACAUCUGCUUGGAGGGUUUGCGAGGCUUGGCGCGAGGUUCAACCUCUAUGCCCAUCUCUGAAAAAGCACGGUUCACUUGGAGACCAUGCGUAACAAACUUGCGAGCAAACAAAAAUUCGCUCUCGUGGCAAGGCCGAAGAAUAUCCACAGCCCGCCUUUCAACCUCGUCAACAAAAACGUCGAC
RNAcentral lists this long non-coding RNA (485 nucleotides) under Setaria viridis. RNAcentral's name for it is "long non-coding RNA (SVIR_LNC001620)". Lineage: Eukaryota; Viridiplantae; Streptophyta; Magnoliopsida; Poales; Poaceae. The record is from RNAcentral.